AUUGAACGCUGGCGGCAUGCCUUACACAUGCAAGUCGAACGGUAACGGGUCCUUCGGGAUGCCGACGAGUGGCGAACGGGUGAGUAAUAUAUCGGAACGUGCCCAGUAGUGGGGAUAACUGCUCGAAAGAGCAGCUAAUACCGCAUACGACCUGAGGGUGAAAGGGGGGGAUCGCAAGACCUCUCGCUAUUGGAGCGGACGAGAUCAGAUUAGCUAGUUGGUGGGGUAAAGGCCUACCAAGGCAACGAUCUGUAGUUGGUCUGAGAGGACGACCAGCCACACUGGGACUGAGACACGGCCCAGACUCCUACGGGAGGCAGCAGUGGGGAAUUUUGGACAAUGGGCGCAAGCCUGAUCCAGCAAUGCCGCGUGCAGGAAGAAGGCCUUCGGGUUGUAAACUGCUUUUGUCAGGGAAGAAAUCUUCUGGGCUAAUACCCCGGGAGGAUGACGGUACCUGAAGAAUAAGCACCGGCUAACUACGUGCCAGCCGCCGCUGUAA
RNAcentral lists this ribosomal RNA (499 nucleotides) under uncultured bacterium. Its description in RNAcentral is "partial 16S ribosomal RNA". It matches the Rfam family "Bacterial small subunit ribosomal RNA", at positions 30 to 523 of the family's 1533-position model. The record is from RNAcentral.